AUAAUUCUUCAGGGCAGGGUGUAAUUCCCUACCGGCGGUAUAGCCCGCGAGCCUUAUAGGCAUGAUUCGGUGAAACUCCGAAGCCGACAGUAAAGUCUGGAUGAAAGAAGAACAAU
Molecule: non-coding RNA, 116 nt
Filed under: Tissierella praeacuta
Lineage: Bacteria; Bacillati; Bacillota; Tissierellia; Tissierellales; Tissierellaceae
Also listed under: 1 other name
Description: FMN sequence
Rfam family: FMN riboswitch aptamer (RFN element)
About the family: The RFN element is a highly conserved domain that is found frequently in the 5'-untranslated regions of prokaryotic mRNAs that encode for flavin mononucleotide (FMN) biosynthesis and transport proteins. This element is a metabolite-dependent riboswitch that directly binds FMN in the absence of proteins. In Bacillus subtilis, the riboswitch most likely controls gene expression by causing premature transcription termination within the 5' untranslated region of the ribDEAHT operon and precluding access to the ribosome-binding site of ypaA mRNA.
Source: RNAcentral